This is a long non-coding RNA of Neltuma alba, 1752 nucleotides long. RefSeq lists it as uncharacterized. The transcript is spliced from 3 exons. The record is from RefSeq and is a predicted model, not a curated record. NCBI's taxonomy places the organism in Eukaryota, Viridiplantae, Streptophyta, Magnoliopsida, Fabales, Fabaceae.
GUAUAUUUUCUGCUUCAUGGGGGUAUGUCUUAUUUAUACAUCAGUUAUGAUGCUAACGAGAAUCUUCUUGUUUGAAAUCAAACUAAUUACAGUUGACAGCAUACCAAAUGAAAAUGAUCUCAAAUCUGCUAGUCAUUUUUGAAGUUUUGCAAAAAUUUGAAGUUCUAAGUUUUUAUAACACUCAAACCAUUGUUAAUGUACAAAUAAUCCCAUUUAUUGUAUACUACAUGGGAUCUCUGGCAAAGAAAAUGGAGCCUUGAAAAUCUGUCAUGUUACAUCUUUUGGUUUUUAUCCUCACUCUCUUGUUUCUCAUUUCAUUCUGACUUUUUUUGAUCUCAGACUUUCUCUCCAGCUACUGUUCUUGAAAUUGUCAGCAUACGCAGCGACCUUCUACUAAGAUGAUUUCAUUUGCUUGUGAUUUUUAUUGUUAGUACUAAUAUCAGGUCCUUGAGUGAAUGGCAAACCAGUCUUCAAUUAAUGCAAGGCCUUUGGUAGUUUUCUCAGAUUUGUAGUUAAUUUUAUUCUGCUACCUUAUCAGAAGGAUUUUUUUUUUUUUGGGGGGGGGGGGCUAGUGACUGAAAAUUUCAGGUGUUUUUAUGGAGUUUUGGUUUGAGAAUUUCUUGAUUUUCCAAAUCCAGUUAUGCCACUUGCGCUUAAACAUCAGAAGUGACAUGUCAUUGCCUUCUAGGCUAAUUAUCAUUUAUUUGCCCUUUCUCGCAUAUAAUAAGGAUCAUGUUUUGAGGACUUGGUACAAGAAUUGCUGUUCCUACAUCAGCUUGUGGAACCAAGCUAAUAAACCAACCCUUCAUGUUUGUAAAAUUUGUGUAUCCAAAUUUUUCUUUUGAAAAGUGAUCUGGUAUCAUUUGAGAAAAAUAGCUGGUAGCAAUGCACUGUACACAUCUCAAAAAUUUCACCUACCGCAUAUGACUUUGAACAUUUUUUACCACAUUUAUCCCUUGUGAUUACAGAUAUUGAAGAAGCAAACCAUGCAUAAAUUUUAUGAUCUUUCUGUUAACUCUGAAUAGGUCAUUAAAAACGAAAUUUGGUGGCAGGGUUGAUAUAUUUGAAGAAGUUAAGGAACGGGUGAAUAUUCACAUAUAACUCUUCUAAAAGGAAAUGCCAAAAAGCUCUGCUUUAUGUUUACAAGCCAUGGGUUAUUGUGUUAAAUCUUUUCCUUCUUGAGCUUGCAGUUUUGAAUGCCCAUACAUGUAUUGCUGGGCAAUAUCUCUGUAGCCGAUGAAAGGUCUUGUCAUUUGCAUAAGACAGCCGAGUCCAUCCAAAAGAAUAGCUACUUCUGCAGACUUUUCAAAUCAAGCUUCUGCUAACACAAAUCAAUGUUCAUGUCCUUUGUCGGUAAGUCUCAUUCGUAAAUUUUGGACCAAAUGAUUGCAAUUUUUGGUUUUCUCUUCUUGUUCUGUGGAAUACUUUUGGUGAAAGGUCAGGUCAAGGAAACCAACAAAACUUAAAGUCCCAUUCAACAAAGGAAAAGGAGAUUGAAUCGUGGUUUUUGGGAUAGAAGAUGUUAUGGUUAUUAAAAAAAGCCUUCAAUCUUGAAAUUUUAGAUAAAAAAGCAGAUCUCGUGGAAUAUAAGCUAAGAACUUUUCAAAGUGCGUAGUUUGGGACCACUAAGGAUGCUGCUAUACUACUACAUCAAGGUAAGAUUACUAGGCACGUAAGAAAUAGAAAGUUGUCAUGUUUUUAUAUUCCUAAAUACCGAUCCGGUUUUGAAUAUAGGACUUAAUUGUUGAGUUG